UACGUAGGGUGCGAGCGUUGUCCGGAAUUAUUGGGCGUAAAGAGCUCGUAGGCGGUUCGAUAAGUCGGACGUGAAAUCUCCACGCUCAACGUGGAGGGGCCGUUCGAUACUGUCGUGACUCGAGUCCGGUAGGGGAGUGUGGAAUUCCCGGUGUAGCGGUGAAAUGCGCAGAGAUCGGGAGGAACACCCGUAGCGAAGGCGGCACUCUGGGCCGGUACUGACGCUGAGGAGCGAAAGCGUGGGGAGCAAACAGG
Molecule: ribosomal RNA, 254 nt
Filed under: uncultured bacterium
Lineage: Bacteria
Description: partial 16S ribosomal RNA
Rfam family: Bacterial small subunit ribosomal RNA
Source: RNAcentral